This 75-nucleotide transfer RNA is filed under the name Endomicrobiia bacterium. RNAcentral describes it as "tRNA-Phe". It matches the Rfam family "tRNA". Rfam says of the family: Transfer RNA (tRNA) molecules are approximately 80 nucleotides in length. The record is from RNAcentral. Lineage: Bacteria; Pseudomonadati; Elusimicrobiota; Endomicrobiia.
GCUUGAGGUAGCUCGGUUGGUAGAGCGCAGGUCCAAAAGACCUGAUGUUGGCAGUUCGGUUCUGCCCCUUAAGCG